CAGCAGCCGCGGUAAUACGAAGGGGGCUAGCGUUGUUCGGAUUUACUGGGCGUAAAGCGCACGUAGGCGGAUAUUUAAGUCAGGGGUGAAAUCCCAGAGCUCAACUCUGGAACUGCCUUUGAUACUGGGUAUCUUGAGUAUGGAAGAGGUGAGUGGAAUUCCGAGUGUAGAGGUGAAAUUCGUAGAUAUUCGGAGGAACACCAGUGGCGAAGGCGGCUCACUGGUCCAUUACUGACGCUGAGGUGCGAAAGCGUGGGGAGCAAACAGGAUUAGAUACCCGGGUAGUCCCUGUCUCUUAUAA
This 301-nucleotide ribosomal RNA is filed under the name uncultured bacterium. RNAcentral describes it as "partial 16S ribosomal RNA". It matches the Rfam family "Bacterial small subunit ribosomal RNA", at positions 509 to 809 of the family's 1533-position model. The record is from RNAcentral.